CACACAUGCACACACACGCGCACACACACGCACACACGCACAUACACAAUUGGGAUAAGAUUUUGAGGAGGCUGGGACCCAAUCCUUUAUUUUCUCCUUCCUUUCAGACCGUUUUAAAUAUAAAUGCAGUCUCCAUUGCAAGUGUAAACCAGGUAAGUUCUAUAAGGGAAAAAGAGAAUGGGAAAAUAAAUGUAUGCUUUUUAAAAAAGUAACCAUGGUAGGAAUAAUACUAUGUGCCCACCAAACACAUUUCCUCUUCCAGAACAAACAGAAGAUGCAGUUCCAAGUUUCCCUCAUAAUUAGGCUGGGGUCAGGAAGAUGGGUGGCACCAAUGAGCACCUCUCCUAGGUCUGGCCCAUAAAAAACGCCCAGGCAGCCCUCCAAGGCCCCUUCUCCUUGCUCCUUGGCUGGCCGACUCAGAGGAUCCAAUAAAAGACUCCAAAGUCCCAAAGUGUCCUGGGCCCUGGCGAGUGAAACCAUGAAACAGGAGGGGCCUGGGUUCCCCAGUCCUUGCACUAAGGAGAGCCUCCCUCCCGGGAGAACACACACGCCGGGGUACACGUGAGAAAGCAGUAAGCUUUUAUUAUGCUACGUUUAUCAUCUUAAGCCCAGUGGCGCACCUGUGCUUAACAGCCCACUUUGUGGAUAAGGAAGGGCCUGAUUUGUACUGUUUGCUGGUUUCCAUGGUGAAAAUACUCUCACCGUGGCCAAUCUGAGGCUACCAACGGAACGCAGAGUUUAGAAGAAACGCCAAAGAUCUGCUCCUGGUACUCGGGGACAGCACACCACUGGUUAAGUCCCUCUCGGUUUAGGGUUUACUUGUCUACACAGCACAUCUUAGCCCACCUUGACUAGUACAGUAUCCAGCUGUGAUUGAACUACACUUAUUUCCUCCUCUGAAAGGACUAGCACUUUCACCGCCUCACCUUGAGGCUUUCUUGAGUUACUGUCCCCCGCCCAGAGGCAAAGGCGCUGCUGUUGAAACUGAAAACCCCCCAGGCUGGUCCAAAACAGUUUCCUUUGAUUCAUCAGGGCCUUAUUUUGCUUCUGAUGAAUUCAGAGCAUCUUCCUUGGGAGUUUAGCAAUGUGUGAAGCUCAGUGAGGACAUUUUCAUUAAUUUUAAUAGUAUUCGAAAUUCUGUAUCUCAGAAGACUGCAGCUUGUCAAGGACAUAAUGUUAGCUUUUUUUUUUUUGAAAGGACAGUGCUCAACUAUUCUUUUUCAUUUUUAUAUAGAACCUGCCCUGGGUACAUGGGUGUCACACGCUUGGGGAAAUUUUUAUAACUUUUCAAAUAAUCUGAAUCUUUUACCAUUGAACUAAAGUCAGCAGAACUCCCCCUCUCUGAUCUCGUGUCUGUUUAGAAUCGUAGGCGUGCUCUGAUUCUGAGUUCCACGUCCGUCUAUGUGCUCGACCCGUUACCAAGACGAGACUUCCUGAUUGUGGAGUCAAUUGUGUUCCGUUUGCUUGUUGUGCCCCUCAAAUGGGGAUGGUUUUGAAAAUUCAUUUCAGAUAUAUUCUUAAAUGAAAUAGAGCAAGCUACAAAUACACACACACACACACACAAACACACACAUAUAUAUAUAUCCGUGUGAUCUUUUGUGUGAGAACAUGAUCUUGUAAAAAAAAAGUUAGGCGCUGCCUACAUAUGCACACGAUGAAAAGACACAGAGCACCUGCUCACCCAGGAUCUGCCUGCCCUGGAGGAAGACACCCAGCCCCACUCCCAGGCCUGGAGUUUUCCAGGGGCCAGGUCGCCGGACAGUGAAACCACAGCCGGCACAGAGCGAGAGAGAAGCAACCAGAUCUACUCUCACUUACGAUCCCCGAGGAGGACGGAGAAGCCACGGAUAAUAACAAGCAGAUAAUCCUAUUGAGUCUAUGAAGCUAAUCUUGUAAAUCGGUGAUGUAUCCCUUUGUUUUUUU
This is a non-coding RNA of Microcebus murinus (gray mouse lemur), 1923 nucleotides long. The record is from RefSeq and is a predicted model, not a curated record. Lineage: Eukaryota; Metazoa; Chordata; Mammalia; Primates; Cheirogaleidae.